AUUGAACGCUGGCGGCAUGCUUUACACAUGCAAGUCGAACGGUAACAGGGAGCUUGCUCCGCUGACGAGUGGCGAACGGGUGAGUAAUGCAUCGGAACGUACCCAGUCGUGGGGGAUAACGUAGCGAAAGUUACGCUAAUACCGCAUACGUCCUGAGGGAGAAAGCGGGGGACCGAAAGGCCUCGCGCGAUUGGAGCGGCCGAUGUCGGAUUAGCUAGUUGGUGGGGUAAAGGCCUACCAAGGCGACGAUCCGUAGCGGGUCUGAGAGGAUGAUCCGCCACACUGGGACUGAGACACGGCCCAGACUCCUACGGGAGGCAGCAGUGGGGAAUUUUGGACAAUGGGGGCAACCCUGAUCCAGCCAUGCCGCGUGAGUGAAGAAGGCCUUCGGGUUGUAAAGCUCUUUCGGCCGGGAAAAAUACGCAUCAGUUAAUACCUGGUGUGGAUGAUGGUACCGGAAUAAGAAGCACCGGCUAACUACGUGCCAGCAGCCGCGGUAAGAGUACU
Molecule: ribosomal RNA, 507 nt
Filed under: uncultured bacterium
Lineage: Bacteria
Description: bacterial SSU rRNA
Rfam family: Bacterial small subunit ribosomal RNA
Source: RNAcentral